AGUGAACGCUGGCGGUAGGCCUAACACAUGCAAGUCGAACGGCAGCACAGUAAGAGCUUGCUCUUACGGGUGGCGAGUGGCGGACGGGUGAGGAAUACAUCGGAAUCUACUUUUUCGUGGGGGAUAACGUAGGGAAAAUUACGCCAAUACCGCAUACGACCUACGGGUGAAAGCAGGGACUCUUCGGACCUUGCGCGAUUGCAUGAGCCGAUGUCGGAUUAGCUAGUUGGCGGGGUAAAGGCCCACCAAGGCGACGAUCCGUAGCUGGUCUGAGAGGAUGAUCAGCCACACUGGAACUGAGACACGGUCCAGACUCCUACGGGAGGCAGCAGUGGGGAAUAUUGGACAAUGGGCGCAAGCCUGAUCCAGCCAUACCGCGUGGGUGAAGAAGGCCUUCGGGUUGUAAAGCCCUUUUGUUGGGAAAGAAAAGCAGCAGGUUAAUACCCCGCUGUUCUGACGGUACCCAAAGAAUAAGCACCGGCUAACUUCGUG
This 492-nucleotide ribosomal RNA is filed under the name uncultured bacterium. RNAcentral's name for it is "partial 16S ribosomal RNA". It matches the Rfam family "Bacterial small subunit ribosomal RNA", at positions 29 to 507 of the family's 1533-position model. The record is from RNAcentral.